Molecule: ribosomal RNA, 432 nt
Filed under: uncultured bacterium
Lineage: Bacteria
Description: bacterial SSU rRNA
Rfam family: Bacterial small subunit ribosomal RNA
Source: RNAcentral
UGAUCCUGGCUCAGGACGAACGCUGGCGGCGUGCCUAAUACAUGCAAGUCGAACGCUUCUUUCCUCCCGAGUGCUUGCACUCAAUUGGAAAGAGAAGUGGCGGACGGGUGAGUAACACGUGGGUAACCUACCCAUCAGAGGGGGAUAACACUUGGAAACAGGUGCUAAUACCGCAUAACAGUUUAUGCCGCAUGGCAUAAGAGUGAAAGGCGCUUUCGGGUGUCGCUGAUGGAUGGACCCGCGGUGCAUUAGCUAGUUGGUGAGGUAACGGCUCACCAAGGCCACGAUGCAUAGCCGACCUGAGAGGGUGAUCGGCCACACUGGGACUGAGACACGGCCCAGACUCCUACGGGAGGCAGCAGUAGGGAAUCUUCGGCAAUGGACGAAAGUCUGACCGAGCAACGCCGCGUGAGUGAAGAAGGUUUUCGGAUC